RNAcentral lists this ribosomal RNA (112 nucleotides) under uncultured eukaryote. RNAcentral describes it as "partial small subunit ribosomal RNA". It matches the Rfam family "Eukaryotic small subunit ribosomal RNA", at positions 1676 to 1785 of the family's 1831-position model. The record is from RNAcentral.
UCGCACCUACCGAUUGAAUGACUCGGUGAAACAUUGGGACUGCGAGAAAUCUUGCUUUAUUGCGAGUAUUUUUGUGGGAACUUUAGUAAACCUAUUCAUUUAGAGGAAGGUG